This 2395-nucleotide long non-coding RNA is filed under the name Zea mays. Its description in RNAcentral is "long non-coding RNA (ZMAY_LNC000487)". Lineage: Eukaryota; Viridiplantae; Streptophyta; Magnoliopsida; Poales; Poaceae. The record is from RNAcentral.
UAUAUUUGAUUAUUUACUGUAUAUGUUUGUGUGUUUGUGGUGGAGGUAAAUCCUAGGAAAUUUAGAUGAGAAGAAAGCUUUAGCGAGGCGCUUGCCAAGUGCUUGGUGAAUCGCUUCAACCGGAUGCGGUUGUCGAUCUCGCGGAGUCGAGUCGAGUUUAGUCGUGGUAAGUCGAUCCAUUGUUUUCGUUAGUCGGAUGAAUGAUUAGUUGUGUGGAUAUAUAAGGCUUGUGCUAUUAAAUUGAUUUGUGUUGUGUGAAUGAAAUUAUUUUCAUGAGUAUGCAUGUCUUGUAUUAUGAAACUAAUUAAAGAUAUGCAUGGUGCUUGUAGGUGGAUUAUGCCUAGAGUAUUUUGGUAAAGAUAUUUCUCAAGUAUAAAUGAUUUGGUUAUUGUAUAUGAAUUGAGUGAUCAAGUUAAUAAUGUAAAAACAACGUUUAGUACUUAUAGCGCUUUGCCGAUAAGAUUUAUUAGUGAUUGAGUGAAUUUCUAAUGUAUGGUGACAUGAAUGCCUUGUUGUAUUAUGUGGUUUUAGUUCUACUAAAGAUAAAGUGUUGAGUGUUCUAAAUGUUAAAAGCAUGAUAAGUGUAGAAGUUAAAUAAGAUCUAAGUUAGAGUUCUUGCUGUUUGGACUGCAUGUCCAAUAUUAUUACGUGGCUAGUUAAGUAAAGUAAACGUGUUUUCUGUAGAAGUGUUAUAUAUAAAACUUGUAGAUAAUCUUUUUACCUUGCUUGUGUAAAAAUUUCAUGACCAUAGGUUCAGUAGUUUAGGAGUUAUGAUUUUUCCAAGUCCAGUUUCAGAAUCUGUCCAGAUUCUGUACUGAUUUCGAAAAUGACCUUGUUUGUCCAAGUUAAACUGAGAAUCAGCUCUUAGUAAUUAUAGAAGAAUUGUAGUAUUUUUUUUAAGCUUUCCAACAAAUUUUGGAGCACCCUUUUUGGUGGUCUAGAGACCAAGUUACAGCUGUUUGAACUGUAGAGUCUGAAUCUGUCCACAUCUGGACAGAGAAGUCUGUUUAUAUUAACUGACUUUGAUAUGCAUUGAAUUAACCUGAGAUGUUUAUAAAUGAAUUGUAGACAAUUCUACUAGCUUUCUAAAAAGUCUAGGAUCACCUGAUUUGGAUGUCUGAGACUCCAGUUAUGAAAUUUUUGAAGUGAGUAGUCGAAUUCUGUACAAAUAUGGACAGAAUUUACGUUUAGCUCUGUUUGACCUUUCUAAGUGUCAAAUCUUGUUCUGAUGAUUAUACCAAAUUUGUAGAGGAUUUUCUUAGGCUUUCCAGAAAGUCAUAGUUCACUAUUUUUGGAUCAAUGUUUUGUGAGUUAUGAGCAAAACCGUGGACUGCUGUGCUGCUGUCCAGGAAUUCUGCAAGUGUGAAAUUAAUUGAUUGAGGUUAUUCUUGUUUGACUAAGUAACUUUAGUUGAUUAUUAAUUAGCAAAGCGAUGGCUUGUGUUAGUAAUUGUCAUUUUCUAUGUUUGUUGAUUGAUUAAAUGUCAUAAAUCAAAAUUGAGCGCUUAAGUUAAUCGCCUUAAAUAAAUGUUCAUCAUUAUUUUAGUCAGUUGGAAGCAAAUAUCAUCGUUGGUCCACUUCAGCAAAUUUACAAAUAUUUUCACAGUGAGUAUUGCACGUUAGUACCUUAAGUAUGUAGAUUUUAAAUUGUGAUGUUGCAAAAGUCUAUGACCUCUGAUGAUCUUUUACUUGCUAAAUUAAAUGGUAUGAUGUCUAAUUAAUUAAUGCGCUAUACAAGCUAAUCUAAUGAAAUAAUUUAGAAGGCUAGUAAUUUACUUCUAGCUAUAUUCUGAGCGUUUAGUGUUCUAGGCUGGGGAGUAUGAUGUUAUUAAUCUUUUGGAUAUAAUGCACUACCUGAGAAAGUUAAGACUUGUGUAUAACUUAAUAUUUCGUGAUGACUGAUGUUUGCUCCGGAUAACUAAGAGACGUGUGAUUCUUGUACUUAGUAAUUUAUAAAUACCUAGUAUAUGCUUGUUUUUAAAUGUUUACAUUUGUCUUGCCAUAAGUAUUGCAAUCUAUCGAGGUUACGCCUUAGCUGAAUAUUUGUGUUGAGUUAUUGUGCUUGAUGGUUGAGCUGAAAAUAACUCUGAGUGUGUGAUUGUUGUAGAGUCAAAGUUAACUAGUGUUUGCUCAUAGGAAUUGUGGCGCUCUGCCAUAAGUGUUUUGCCCUCUUCAGUGUAGUUUACCUAUCCUGUGUCAUUUAUGCCUAUUCUUAUUCAUAUGCAUUUCACAUUCCAUUAGGUACGUUAACUAAUCGCAUGGUAUGGAGGACAAGAGAUGGAUUGAUCAUAAGACGAUGCUGGUAGACGAAACUAAAGUGGAUGAAUCAACCAAAUGCCAGGAUGGGGGUGCUCGUCAAGCGAGUAUCAUUUAACAACACUAACGUAGUGUUAUCC